RNAcentral lists this ribosomal RNA (468 nucleotides) under uncultured bacterium. RNAcentral's name for it is "partial 16S ribosomal RNA". It matches the Rfam family "Bacterial small subunit ribosomal RNA", at positions 28 to 507 of the family's 1533-position model. The record is from RNAcentral.
GACGAACGCUGGCGGCGUGCUUAACACAUGCAAGUCGAACGGAAAGGCCCUGCUUUUGUGGGGUGCUCGAGUGGCGAACGGGUGAGUAACACGUGAGUAACCUGCCCUUGACUUUGGGAUAACUUCAGGAAACUGGGGCUAAUACCGGAUAGGAGCUCCUGCUGCAUGGUGGGGGUUGGAAAGUUUCGGCGGUUGGGGAUGGACUCGCGGCUUAUCAGCUUGUUGGUGGGGUAGUGGCUUACCAAGGCUUUGACGGGUAGCCGGCCUGAGAGGGUGACCGGCCAAAAUGGGACUGGGAUAACGCCCAGACUUCUAAGGGGGGGAGCAGUGGGGAAUAUUGCACAAUGGGCGGGAGCCUGAUGGAGCAACGCCGGGUGCGGGAAGACGGCCCUCGGGUUGUAAACCGCUUUCGCCUGUGACGAAGCGUGAGUGACGGUAAUGGGUAAAGAAGCACCGGCUAACUACGUG